This 505-nucleotide long non-coding RNA is filed under the name Hordeum vulgare. RNAcentral describes it as "long non-coding RNA (HVUL_LNC011785)". Lineage: Eukaryota; Viridiplantae; Streptophyta; Magnoliopsida; Poales; Poaceae. The record is from RNAcentral.
UGCAAUGUAGUUCAUCUUCGGUGUUCUCUCAACUACGCCUUCUCGUGGACCGUUCAGACCCUCACGUCCACUUGCCCACUUUCUCUUGGCGCAUUGGACGGGGUACGUUGGUCUGGAUUGUCUCUGGGUCUUGAUAUUGUUGUAGAGGUCUGUGACACGACUUUAUUGCUCUAUGGUUUGCCUCAUCGCCAUUGACAUGAGGUUGGUCUAGGUCGAACAUGUAUGAUAGUACAUGUGGUGGGUGUGCUUCGUGGAUGGGGUUGUUAAUCCAUGUGAUUGGCAUUAUAAUGGCUGAAAGACUUGUAUCCGACUUUUUUGGCUCUUCUUCUAUCAAUAUAUGAUACAAAUGUUUGUGUGUAUUCUAGAAAAGAAGUUUUUACCCAAGUUCGGCCUCUCAUGAUCAAGCUAAUACCCUACUUCUGUUCGUGUAUAUUGUGAUUGGGGUGUGUAUAAAGUUGAAAGUGCACGAUGACACUAAAUUAUAUUUUGGUGUGAUGAAAACAUG